This 140-nucleotide non-coding RNA is filed under the name uncultured Mallomonas. Lineage: Eukaryota; Synurophyceae; Synurales; Mallomonadaceae. The record is from RNAcentral.
AAAGAGAGAGAGAGAGAAAUAAAGCUAAGAUAUAUUCCAUUUCGUCAAUCAUGUCAUUCACACAUUUUUUUUUCUCUCUCUCUCUCUCUCUUUUUCUUUUCCCCUUUAAAGUGUUUCCUCUCUCUAUCUCCCUGUGUGCC